GAUGAACGCUGGCGGCGUGCCUAAUACAUGCAAGUCGAGCGAACAGACGAGGAGCUUGCUCCUCUGACGUUAGCGGCGGACGGGUGAGUAACACGUGGAUAACCUACCUAUAAGACUGGGAUAACUUCGGGAAACCGGAGCUAAUACCGGAUAAUAUAUUGAACCGCAUGGUUCAAUAGUGAAAGACGGUUUUGCUGUCACUUAUAGAUGUAUCCGCGCCGCAUUAGCUAGUUGGUAAGGUAACGGCUUACCAAGGCAACGAUGCGUAGCCGACCUGAGAGGGUGAUCGGCCACACUGGAACUGAGACACGGUCCAGACUCCUACGGGAGGCAGCAGUAGGGAAUCUUCCGCAAAGGGCGAAAGCCUGACGGAGCAACGCCGCGUGAGUGAUGAAGGUCUUCGGAUCGUAAAACUCUGUUAUUAGGGAAGAACAAAUGUGUAAGUAACUAUGCACGUAUUGACGGUACCUAAUCAGAAAGCCACGGCUAACUACGUG
RNAcentral lists this ribosomal RNA (497 nucleotides) under uncultured bacterium. RNAcentral describes it as "partial 16S ribosomal RNA". It matches the Rfam family "Bacterial small subunit ribosomal RNA", at positions 28 to 507 of the family's 1533-position model. The record is from RNAcentral.